RNAcentral lists this ribosomal RNA (948 nucleotides) under Triticum aestivum (bread wheat). Its description in RNAcentral is "partial small subunit ribosomal RNA". The record is from RNAcentral. Lineage: Eukaryota; Viridiplantae; Streptophyta; Magnoliopsida; Poales; Poaceae.
AUGCCCUACAUACCAGCUGACGUCACAAACCUAAAGGCAAAGUACCGUAGAGAGAGCAAGUUGGCCGACAUAGAGGCCACAAUGGCCUACUUCGAUGAGAAAGCGAAGGAAGAUCCAGAUUUCUUCUACAGGAUAAGAUUGGAUGAUGAGGACCGUGUCAGGAACAUGUAUUGGGUGGAUGGUGCUGCAAGAAGAGCCUACAAACAUUUCCGAGAUUGCAUUUCAUUCGACGCAACAUAUCUCACUAAUAUGUACAAGAUGCCAUGCGCUCCAUUCAUAGGAAUAAAUAACCACAAUCAGUCGUUGCAGUUCGGAUGCGGGCUCAUUCGGAACGAAGACACGGAUGGGUACGUUUGGCUGUUCAAGACCUUCUUGGAGUGCAUGGGUGGACUUGCUCCGAUGAACAUAAUAACAAACCAGGAUUUUAGCAUGCGUGCAGGCAUAGAGGAGGUCUUUCCGUUGGCAGUGCACAGGCACUGCAGGUGGCACAUUAUAAAGAAGGCUGAGGAGACACUAGGACCGUUCUUUGCUGACCGUCCAGACCUGCACAAGGCAUUCGAGCUGUGCGUGGACCACAGCUUGACGGUGGAGGAGUUUGAAAGGAGCUGAAUGGCUAUGAUUGAAACAUAUCAAGUCCAAGACCACGAGACGCUUGCUAGCUUGUGGGAGAAGCGAAUGUACUGGGUGCCGGCCUACUUCAUGCAGUGCUUCUUCCCGUUUCUGCAGACUACACAACGCAAUGAGGGGUUCAAUGCUGUUUUGAAGCAGUACGUGAGCCCUGGCAACUCAUUACUACAGUUUGCCAAGCAGUACGCCGCUUUGCAACAAAAAAAUACUGGGAUCCGAGCUACAGCAAGAAGCAAACACCGCGCUCAAGCAGCCAAAAUUGCUAACUUAUUUACCAAUGGAGAGGCAGAUGAGCAAGAUAUACACCAACACGAUUUUUAA